RNAcentral lists this ribosomal RNA (460 nucleotides) under uncultured bacterium. Its description in RNAcentral is "partial 16S ribosomal RNA". It matches the Rfam family "Bacterial small subunit ribosomal RNA", at positions 338 to 795 of the family's 1533-position model. The record is from RNAcentral.
CCUACGGGAGGCACCAGUGAGGAAUAUUGGUCAAUGGGCGGGAGCCUGAACCAGCCAAGUAGCGUGAAGGAUGACUGCCCUACGGGUUGUAAACUUCUUUUAUAAAGGAAUAAAGUGAGGCACGUGUGCCUUUUUGUAUGUACUUUAUGAAUAAGGAUCGGCUAACUCCGUGCCAGCAGCCGCGGUAAUACGGAGGAUCCGAGCGUUAUCCGGAUUUAUUGGGUUUAAAGGGUGCGUAGAUGGGUUGUUAAGUCAGUUGUGAAAGUUUGCGGCUCAACCGUAAAAUUGCAAUUGAAACUGGCAGCCUUGAGUACAGGUGAGGUAGGCGGAAUGCGUGGUGUAGCGGUGAAAUGCUUAGAUAUCACGAAGAACUCCGAUUGCGAAGGCAGCUUACUAAACUGCCACUGACAUUGAUGCUCGAAAGUGUGGGUAUCAAACAGGAUUAGAUACCCGGGUAGUC